This 614-nucleotide ribosomal RNA is filed under the name uncultured bacterium. Its description in RNAcentral is "bacterial SSU rRNA". It matches the Rfam family "Bacterial small subunit ribosomal RNA", at positions 31 to 690 of the family's 1533-position model. The record is from RNAcentral.
CAACGCUGGCGGAAAUUUUAACACAUGCNACGUCGAACGCACCUUCGGGUGAGUGGCAGACGGGUGAGUAACGCGUGGGAAUCUACCUUUUGGUACGGAAUAGCUCCGGGAAACUGGAAUUAAUACCGUAUGUGCCCUUUGGGGGAAAGAUUUAUCGCCAAGAGAUGAGCCCGCGUUUGAUUAGGUAGUUGGUGGGGUAAUGGCCUACCAAGCCGACGAUCAAUAGCUGGUCUGAGAGGAUGAUCAGCCACAUUGGGACUGAGACACGGCCCAAACUCCUACGGGAGGCAGCAGUGGGGAAUAUUGGACAAUGGGCGCAAGCCUGAUCCAGCCAUGCCGCGUGAGUGAUGAAGGCCCUAGGGUUGUAAAGCUCUUUCGCCGGUGAAGAUAAUGACUGUAGCCGGUAAAGAAGCCCCGGCUAACUUCGUGCCAGCAGCCGCGGUGAUACGAAGGGGGCUAGCGUUGUUCGGAAUUACUGGGCGUAAAGCGCACGUAGGCCGGACAUUUAAGUCAGGGGUGAAAUCCCGGAGCUCAACUCCGGAACUGCCUUUUGAUACUGGGUGUCUCGAGUAUGGAAGAGGUAAGUGGAAUUGCGCGUGUCGAGGUGAAAUUCC